Non-coding RNA from Brassica napus (rape), 92 nucleotides. The record is from Rfam. NCBI's taxonomy places the organism in Eukaryota, Viridiplantae, Streptophyta, Magnoliopsida, Brassicales, Brassicaceae.
UCUGGGAUAUGAUGAUAAAAAGAACGAAAGAUGUUGAUGGCACCUUUGCCGCGGAAACAAUCUUUUAUUUUGCACGUCAGUCUGAUCCUAUU